UAGUAGAUGAAAUCAAACAAACCCGUGGGCAAAAGUAUGUGAGCGUGCACCCAUGUGAUGCAUGUAAGAGAAAGAGUAAAUGGAUGUCAAAAUCUUGGCAAAGACUUCGUGUGGAAUGAAGAAUGGGGACAAGAUGAAUCUUAAACAACAUUAUAUGGCCCAUUACAAGAUUUGAUUGAACAAGAGAAACCCCAAUUACUUUACUAUGCCUAGGCCCUUUCAAUAUUUUCAAAGAUGCACCAUCCAUAUAUCAGACUCAAGACAUAUAAUAUAAUCAGAGAGGAAUGCAUGGACCCCACACCCCAGACUCCUAUAUAUUUAUCUAUCUAUAUCUAUAUAUAUAGAGUAUGAUUUAUUGACAACGUUGUAAAAAAGUGUCCAUCCUUACAACAAAUUUUGAUCGUCCAUCCGAAUAUAUCUAACGACCCAU
Molecule: long non-coding RNA, 430 nt
Filed under: Panax ginseng (ginseng)
Lineage: Eukaryota; Viridiplantae; Streptophyta; Magnoliopsida; Apiales; Araliaceae
Description: long non-coding RNA (PGIN_LNC011784)
Source: RNAcentral